AGUUUGAGAGAUGAAUGCAAAGGAAAAAAAUAUUUUCCAAAGUCCAUGUGAAAUUGUCUCCCAUUUUUUGGCUUUUGAGGGGGUUCAGUUUGGGUUGCUUGUCUGUUUCCGGGUUGGGGGGAAAGUUGGUUGGGAUGGAGGGAGUUUACAGGAAGCAGACAGGGCCAACGUCGAAGCCGAAUUCCUGGUCUGGGGCACCAACGUCCAAGGGGGCCACAUCGAUGAUGG
Molecule: long non-coding RNA, 228 nt
Filed under: Homo sapiens (human)
Lineage: Eukaryota; Metazoa; Chordata; Mammalia; Primates; Hominidae
Description: HSALNT0242311
Source: RNAcentral